RNAcentral lists this ribosomal RNA (200 nucleotides) under uncultured bacterium. RNAcentral describes it as "partial 16S ribosomal RNA". It matches the Rfam family "Bacterial small subunit ribosomal RNA", at positions 328 to 540 of the family's 1533-position model. The record is from RNAcentral.
ACGCUCGACACCUACGGGAGACAGCAGUGGGGAAUAUUGCACAAUGGGGGGAACCCUGAUGCAGCGACGCCGCGUGAGUGAAGAAGUACUUCGGUAUGUAAAGCUCUAUCAGCAGGGAAGAAAAUGACGGUACCUGACUAAGAAGCCCCGGCUAACUACGUGCCAGCAGCCGCGGUAAUCUGAGGCGGGCUGGCGAAGGC